Molecule: ribosomal RNA, 320 nt
Filed under: uncultured eukaryote
Lineage: Eukaryota
Description: partial 18S ribosomal RNA
Rfam family: Eukaryotic small subunit ribosomal RNA
Source: RNAcentral
CCCCUAGAUGUUCUGGGCCGCACGCGCGCUACACUGAACAGUUCAACAAGUCUUAACCUUGGCCGAUAGGUCUGGGUAAUCUUUGAACGCUGUUCGUGAUUGGGAUAGACCUUUGCAAUUAUGGGUCUUCAACGAGGAAUUCCUAGUAAACGCAAGUCAUCAGCUUGCAUUGAUUACGUCCCUGCCCUUUGUACACACCGCCCGUCGCACCUACCGAUUGAAUGGUCCGGUGAAUUCUCGGGACGGCGGCUCGGUCGCUUGCGUCCGACUGCUGAAACUUGAUUAAACCAUAUCAUUUAGAGGAAGGUGAAGUCGUAACA